Molecule: long non-coding RNA, 327 nt
Organism: Triticum aestivum (bread wheat)
Lineage: Eukaryota; Viridiplantae; Streptophyta; Magnoliopsida; Poales; Poaceae
Exons: 3
Source: RefSeq, a predicted model, not a curated record
CCAAACGAACGCUGAUAACCGUAAGAAACAGAAGACAAAACACAUAAUCGGAUCAAAAUCUUACUCGCAAGUUAGUUUUGAGAAGAGAAACUUGGAAACUGGAGAAGAGCCAGAUUCUAUUGCUCUGUGGGAACUCACCCACACGAAUGAUGGAACAUGGUCUAACACAGAUUCCCAGAAAGUUUACGACAAAGCACUUCAAGAGGUUAAAAUCAAAGAAACUGAAGGUCCACUUUCAAGUGAGCAGAAAAACAAUAUUUUCCAGACCGCUUACAAAGACACUCUGGAAUGCAAGUCAUCGCAGCCUCGUGGGUACGGAUACAUGGC